GAUGAAGAACGUAGCGAAAUGCGAUACUUGGUGUGAAUUGCAGAAUCCCGUGAACCAUCGAGUCUUUGAACGCAAGUUGCGCCCGAAGCCUCGGCUAAGGGCACGUCUGCCUGGGCGUCACGCAUCGCGUCUCCCCCAAACCGCCAAGGCGGAGGGGAAGGAAGAUGGCUUCCCGUGCCUCACCCGGGCGCGGUUGGCCUAAAUUUGGAGCCCGCGGCACUUAGCUCUCGCGGCGAUAGGUGGUGAACAAGGCCUUGGCCGUGCAAACAACCCGCUGCGAAGCUCUAUGUCACGUGCGCUCGUCGGACCCUUUGAAGUUGCCUUUGGUGACUUAAAACCUUUGCGACCCCAGGUCAGGCGGGGCUACCCGCUGAAUUUAAGCAUAUCAAUAAGCUGAGGA
This 400-nucleotide unclassified non-coding RNA is filed under the name soil metagenome. RNAcentral describes it as "partial contains 5.8S ribosomal RNA, internal transcribed spacer 2, and large subunit ribosomal RNA". The stretch from base 1 to 120 matches the Rfam family "5.8S ribosomal RNA", at positions 35 to 154 of the family's 154-position model. The record is from RNAcentral.